RNAcentral lists this ribosomal RNA (253 nucleotides) under uncultured Celerinatantimonas sp. RNAcentral describes it as "partial 16S ribosomal RNA". It matches the Rfam family "Bacterial small subunit ribosomal RNA", at positions 524 to 776 of the family's 1533-position model. Lineage: Bacteria; Pseudomonadati; Pseudomonadota; Gammaproteobacteria; Celerinatantimonadaceae. The record is from RNAcentral.
UACGGAGGGUGCGAGCGUUAAUCGGAAUUACUGGGCGUAAAGGGCACGUAGGCGGUUUAAUAAGUUGGUUGUGAAAGCCCUGGGCUUAACCUGGGACGUGCGAUCAAAACUGUUGAGCUAGAGUCUGAGAGAGGGAGGUAGAAUUUCCGGUGUAGAGGUGAAAUGCGUAGAGAUCGGAAGGAAUACCGGUGGCGAAGGCGGCCUCCUGGCUUGAGACUGACGCUGAGGUGCGAAAGCAUGGGGAGCAAACAGG